UACGUAGGGUGCAAGCGUUGUCCGGAAUUAUUGGGCGUAAAGGGCUCGUAGGCGGUCUGUCGCGUCGGGAGUGAAAACUCAGGGCUUAACCCUGAGUCUGCUUCCGAUACGGGCAGACUAGAGGUAUGCAGGGGAGAAUGGAAUUCCUGGUGUAGCGGUGAAAUGCGCAGAUAUCAGGAGGAACACCAGUGGCGAAGGCGGUUCUCUGGGCAUUACCUGACGCUGAGGAGCGAAAGUGUGGGGAGCGAACAGG
This 253-nucleotide ribosomal RNA is filed under the name uncultured bacterium. Its description in RNAcentral is "partial 16S ribosomal RNA". It matches the Rfam family "Bacterial small subunit ribosomal RNA", at positions 524 to 776 of the family's 1533-position model. The record is from RNAcentral.